GGAUGUGAGGGCGAUCUGGCUGCGACAUCUGUCACCCCCAUUGACCUCCAGGGUUGAUUCGGCUGAUCUGGCUGGCUAGGCGGGUGUCCCCUUCCUCCCUCCCUCAAUUCAUGUAUUUGUCCAGGUUUAGAGCAAAUUUGGGGAAGAAUCCCCCAAAGGAGCUCCGGUGGGAAAAGCAGAUCCAAUCGGCCCCUCCCCACAACUGGUCUGGGAGGAAAAAAAUACCUCCUUGGAGAAAGGUGGAAAAAACUGUUUAUUAAAUAAUAAAACCAAAACAAUAUCAAACAAUGAUACCCCUUG
RNAcentral lists this small RNA (300 nucleotides) under Junco hyemalis (dark-eyed junco). Its description in RNAcentral is "7SK RNA (ENSJHYG00000016077.1)". The stretch from base 1 to 110 matches the Rfam family "7SK RNA", at positions 1 to 108 of the family's 331-position model. The record is from RNAcentral. Lineage: Eukaryota; Metazoa; Chordata; Aves; Passeriformes; Passerellidae.